GACGUAGGGUGCGAGCGUUGUCCGGAUUUAUUGGGCGUAAAGAGCUCGUAGGCGGCUCGUCGCGUCGACCGUGAAAACCCGCGGCUUAACUGCGGGCUUGCGGUUGAUACGGGCGGGCUAGAGUUCGGUAGGGGAGACUGGAAUUCCUGGUGUAGCGGUGAAAUGCGUAGAUAUUGGGAGGAACACCGGUGGCGAAGGCGGCUACCUGGACCGGUUCUGACGCUGAUGCGCGAAAGCGUGGGUAGCAAACAGG
Molecule: ribosomal RNA, 253 nt
Filed under: uncultured bacterium
Lineage: Bacteria
Description: partial 16S ribosomal RNA
Rfam family: Bacterial small subunit ribosomal RNA
Source: RNAcentral